ACUUGACCGGCGCAGGCGCACUGAGCCCGCCAUCGAUGGCAUCACGGCUUCAUUAUCAAUUAACAGUUAUUGCCGGGGAUUAUUAAUAAAACAUUCGCCCUGACUAUUGGCACUUAGAUUAGCGCCGAGGGAGUAAUGGCGCAUUUCAACAAUUUCGGUUGUUAUUUAAUUGAAGUCAAUUUAUAUGAUCAGACUCUAUUUAGGUUGGAGCUGCCACUCGCCAGCGGGAUCUCUGCUUCAUUGGGCUGAUUGGACACUUUCAGACAACACGAAUUGCACUCGCUGAUGCAGUUCUACUGCAUCUGCAAUGAGUAUUGCUUGCUGUAACUGGGUUACUGUGGCACGGAGUUCACUCGUGCAUGUAUUAGCUAAAACUUGGACUCAACGUCCCAAAUGUGACGAAGACGUAGUGUUUUAAUUCGUGCAGUGGAUUACUUAAUUGUAGUUUAUGCAGUGAAAUGUGCUUGUGUCUCAGAGAAACCAUAUUCUUAACACUUAUAAGAACUUCAACAGUUUCUAUUGGGAGCAGCAACGGAAGACGCCAAGUAACUAAUAAUGAAAACGUUUCCGAGUAAACGAAGAAAGCCUCCGAGACCUUGGGCACCCAUCUCUUGAGCCAGUAGUGGACUGUGUAGAGGGCUGUCAGAAGCACGGCGAGGAAGGUGCAAGCCGCGAGUUGGGGACUCCAUCACAGGCGUUGGUAGAGUCGAUGCAGACCCGAGUGCCCGCCACCUGGCACUCCAGGGUAUCCCUCGGGCACUGCACUGCUGCGUGGAGCAGGGUUCUCGCUGGUGUUGCUACGAUCGUCAUGCGGUCCAGCUGAACGAUUGUAGUCACUUUUAAAAUAAGUAAAAGAAAAGAGAAAAAUAUUGUUCAUAUAAACAUUGAAGGAAAGAAAGGAAAUGUAUUUUUCUGAACAUUUUCAUUGUGAUUACAACGAAAUAUGAUCGUAUUAUAAUACAUAGUUAAUAAAAUAAAAUGUAUUUUAAUAAUA
Long non-coding RNA from Leptidea sinapis, 994 nucleotides. RefSeq lists it as uncharacterized. NCBI's taxonomy places the organism in Eukaryota, Metazoa, Arthropoda, Insecta, Lepidoptera, Pieridae. The transcript has 3 exons. The record is from RefSeq and is a predicted model, not a curated record.